GGCCUACCAUGGUGGUAACGGGUAACGGGGUGUUAGGGCACGACACCGGAGAGGGAGCCUGAGAAACGGCUACCACAUCCAAGGAUGGCAGCAGGCGCGCAAAUUACCCAAUCCCGACACGGGGAGGUAGUGACAAUAAAUAACAAUACGGGGUUCUUUAGGAUCUCGUAAUUGGAAUGAGUACAAUUUAAAUCUCUUAACGAGGAACAAUUGGAGGGCAAGUCUGGUGCCAGCAGCCGCGGUAAUUCCAGCUCCAAUAGCGUAUAUUAAAGUUGUUGCAGUUAAAAAGCUCGUAGUUGAAUUUCGGGGUUAGUAGGUUGGUCAUGCCUCUGGUAUGUACUGAUCUCACUGAUUCCUCCUUCCUUAUGAACCGUAAUGCCAUUAAUUUGGUGUUGCGGGGAAUUUGGACUGUUACUUUGAAAAAAUUAGAGUGUUUAAAGCAGGCUAACGCUUGAAUACAUUAGCAUGGAAUAAUGAAAUAGGACGUUCGAUCUUAUUUUGUUGGUUUCUAGGAUUGACGUAAUGAUUAAUAGGGAUAGUUGGGGGCAUUAGUAUUCAAUUGUCAGAGGUGAAAUUCUUGGAUUUAUUGAAGACUAACUACUGCGAAAGCAUUUGCCAAGGAUGUUUUCAUUAAUCAAGAACGAAAGUUAGGGGAUCGAAGACGAUCAGAUACCGUCGUAGUCUUAACCAUAAACUAUGCCGACUAGGGAUCGGAUGAUGUUAAUUUUUUAAUGACUCAUUCGGCGCCUUACG
Molecule: ribosomal RNA, 753 nt
Filed under: uncultured Glomus
Lineage: Eukaryota; Fungi; Glomeromycota; Glomeromycetes; Glomerales; Glomeraceae
Description: SSU rRNA
Rfam family: Eukaryotic small subunit ribosomal RNA
Source: RNAcentral